This 822-nucleotide long non-coding RNA is filed under the name Scophthalmus maximus (turbot). RNAcentral describes it as "lncRNA (ENSSMAG00000032201.1)". The record is from RNAcentral. Lineage: Eukaryota; Metazoa; Chordata; Actinopteri; Pleuronectiformes; Scophthalmidae.
UGAGAUAUAAGACACUUCAUUUAAUUAUAUGAAAUGCUUUUGUUUUGUUUUCCUGUGUGCUUGUAUGUUUUGUCAAAUGUUCUAUUUUUUUUAACAUUCGCUCAGUCGUUUUGUACUACAAUUCUAAGCGAAAAAAUUGUAUAAGUUUUGAUUGAUACACAAUAAAGAUAUGAAGGGGAAAAAUUAGUAAAAUACAAGUACGUUAACCCCCAGUAAAUAGAAAUACUUGUAAAAUAAAAACUAAAAACAGUGCUACAUGCUGGACAAGAAAGGUUCCUGUACUUUCAUAAAGUACCACCUUCCUCCUGAGCAGGGACGUUGUGGGGGUGAAAUGAGUCCCCCCCCGGAACUUUAAUUGAGAUCCUGUUCCCUGUGGUGGAAACGCAUGGAGUCAAAGGUUCCUAGUUCCUGUGGAAAGUUGUAGUCAUCACUCCGGCCAAGCAUUUAAGCCCCUUCUCUAUUGUUGAUGAAACAACCCCCCAAGUAGCUUUGGGGGCGUGUCGUUCAAUCAGCUGAUCUUGUGACGCACCUGCACUUGGCGCGGGAGAGGAGCGUCAGAGCGAGCGCGCCAAUUACCUGUUGUUGUUGUUGUGGUGGUGGUGGUUAGCAUCUGGAGGAAGCUAGAGAUCCACGUCACUAUGACGAGACGCGAAGUCCGAGGAUACAAGAAGCUUUUUGAAAAGAGAGAGGGUGAAGAGUCGACAAGUGGCGCAGCUGGAGCUAAAGGAGGAGGAGGAGGAGGAAGAAGAGGAAGAGGAGGAGAAGGAGGAAGAGGAGGAGGAAGAGGAAGAGAAGGAGGAGGAAGAGGAGAAGGAGGAAGAG